This 484-nucleotide ribosomal RNA is filed under the name uncultured bacterium. RNAcentral describes it as "partial 16S ribosomal RNA". It matches the Rfam family "Bacterial small subunit ribosomal RNA", at positions 30 to 507 of the family's 1533-position model. The record is from RNAcentral.
AUUGAGCGCUGGCGGCAGGCCUAACACAUGCAAGUCGAGCAGAUGAAGGGAGCUUGCUCCUGGAUUCAGCGGCGGACGGGUGAGUAAUGCCUAGGAAUCUGCCUGGUAGUGGGGGAUAACGUCCGGAAACGGGCGCUAAUACCGCAUACGUCCUGAGGGAGAAAGUGGGGGAUCUUCGGACCUCACGCUAUCAGAUGAGCCUAGGUCGGAUUAGCUAGUUGGUGGGGUAAAGGCCUACCAAGGCGACGAUCCGUAACUGGUCUGAGAGGAUGAUCAGUCACACUGGAACUGAGACACGGUCCAGACUCCUACGGGAGGCAGCAGUGGGGAAUAUUGGACAAUGGGCGAAAGCCUGAUCCAGCCAUGCCGCGUGUGUGAAGAAGGUCUUCGGAUUGUAAAGCACUUUAAGUUGGGAGGAAGGGCAGUAAGUUAAUACCUUGCUGUUUUGACGUUACCAACAGAAUAAGCACCGGCUAACUUCGUG